This 136-nucleotide ribosomal RNA is filed under the name uncultured Trebouxiophyceae. RNAcentral describes it as "partial small subunit ribosomal RNA". It matches the Rfam family "Eukaryotic small subunit ribosomal RNA", at positions 1670 to 1804 of the family's 1831-position model. Lineage: Eukaryota; Viridiplantae; Chlorophyta; Trebouxiophyceae. The record is from RNAcentral.
CGCCCGUCGCUCCUACCGAUUGGACGUGCUGGUGAGGUGUUCGGAUUGGCGACAGGUGGCGGUUUCCGCCCUCUGUUGUCGAGAAGUUCAUCAAACCCUUCCGUCUAGAGGAAGGAGAAGUCGUAACAAGGUUUCC